Long non-coding RNA from Gorilla gorilla gorilla (western lowland gorilla), 781 nucleotides. RefSeq lists it as uncharacterized. The record is from RefSeq and is a predicted model, not a curated record. The transcript is spliced from 4 exons. Lineage: Eukaryota; Metazoa; Chordata; Mammalia; Primates; Hominidae.
AGUGUCCAUGAUAGUGAAUCCAUUUUGGUUGUGCUGGAUUUGAGGUGGCAAAGAAAUAAGGAACUGGCAUGUGACUGCGGGAAAUUGGAGCUACCAGACAGGAGUUCAGGUGAAAAGAUAGGACUAGAGUUGGAUGCUAAAACUUGCAGUCACACAAGGACCUGAACCUAGAGCUUUUCUAAAGCCCGUACUCUUUCCAGUACCCUGAGCCAGGGGAGCCAGCGGGCAGAAAUGACGUGUGAGGUACCCUCUCUCCCUUCACUUCCAUGUGAUCUGUGACUCAUUUUGUCAAGACAUCCUGGGUCCCAGAGACCACUCUUAUUCCCAGGUGUGUGACCUCCUCCUACAGAGUACAGUGGGAAAGACACCGUCUCCAGGUGCCAGGUGCUACACAAGAUACUGGCUAGAGCAGUGAAUAGGACAGCCUCUCUCAUCCUCAUGGAGGUCACAGGACAAUGAGAAGAAAGACUUUUUUAUUUUUAUUUUUUUGAGACGGAGUUUUGCUCUUGUUGCCGAGGCUGGAGUGCAGUGGUGUGAUCUCGACUCACUGCAACCUCCGCCUCCCAAGUUCAAGCAAUUAUCCUGCCUCAGGCCUCUUGAGUAGCUGGGAUUACAGGCACCUGCCACCACGCCCGGCUAAUUUUUUGUAUUUUUAGUAGAGACGGGGUUUCACUGUGUUAGCCAGGAUGGUCUCGAUCUCCUAACCUCGUGAUCCGCCUGCCUCGGCCUCCCAAAGUGCUGGGAUUACAGGCGCGAGCCACCGUGCCCGGCCCCACUAUUG